AUCCUCCCGCGUCCUCCCGGGCUCGCGCCGCUGUCACUGGAGCCCGCAUCCUCCGCCUCCCGCCGCCGCCGCGACCCCGCACCGGGAAUCAAGCCGGCGCGGAAAACCGCAAGCUUGACUCCACGCCCACCUGACUGGACUGAGAAAACCGAAGAAGUUGGUGAGGGUACAGCAAUAAAUAGCAGGAGGAGCAGAAUUUGAAACAGCAGCAUGCCGGUCCUGCGCCUGGUGAAGGAUGACUCGCCAGAAAGCAAAGGCGCAGACCUACCUCCGCGAGCUUGGCGCGUGGCCCAGGAGGCUCCGCGAGCCCUUGUACGUAAGGAUCGUGGCGCCCACGCUUGAGAGCAGAGCUCAGUGCAAACUUCCAACAGUUCUUCCAGUUUCCAGGGAAACGAGAUUUGGAGCUGCUGCGCGUUGCAGAGCUGCCUCUCUGCUCCCCACAUGGGACCCCUGUGGCUGGCUGGUCUUGAGGAGGAAGGAAUUGAAGCCACCUCAUCCUUGAAGGCUGUACACUUCCAUGAGUUUGGACAGUUGUCUACAUUUAUACAAACGACCACCUCUGGACUCACUGCUGUUCCAGCUUCUGCAAAUGCUAAGCUCAGCGUUUCCCCACACCAGGGUCUCUUUUGGAGUCUAGCUGAAGCACUUAAUGGGAAUCCACCUAAGUCUCCUCUGACUUUUUUGUUUAUGCAAAGAGUCCAGGGAAGCCAUGUCAGCUGUCCAUGUCUUAGUGAGAUCCAGAAUCAGUGGGGCACAUCUCCCAAGAGAGAAUUGCCAUUCUGCAUCUCCAUCAUGAGGAUGCUGCUGGACUACCUCUGCAGGAGUUUGCACUGAUGCUGUGCUACAAGGAACAAAGACCCUUCUCUGCUUUGGUUUUCUUCAGAAAUGGUCCUGGCUCUAUCUCCCACAUAUUCCAGCCUCCCACCAUUACAGUUGGGGUGGACUUUCCUUCUACCUGUGGAACACAUUAAAUGGAGUUCUUGUGUU
RNAcentral lists this long non-coding RNA (987 nucleotides) under Mus musculus (house mouse). RNAcentral describes it as "predicted gene 10419". The record is from RNAcentral. Lineage: Eukaryota; Metazoa; Chordata; Mammalia; Rodentia; Muridae.